UGUUGGGUUAAGUCCCGCAACGAGGCCACCCUUCGUCUUUAGUUGCCAUCAUUAAGUGGGCACUUUAAGGGAAACGCCGGUGACAAACCGGAGGAAGGUGGGGAUGAAGUCAAAUUCUCAUGGCCCUUUACACGUGGGGUACCCACCUGGUACAAUGGGCGGUACCAAGGGGAGGGAACCUGGGGGGGCAAGGAUAAUCUCCAAAAGCCGUCUCAGUUCGGAUUGUAGUCUGCAACUCGAGAGCAUGAAG
This 250-nucleotide ribosomal RNA is filed under the name uncultured Sphingomonas sp. RNAcentral's name for it is "partial 16S ribosomal RNA". It matches the Rfam family "Bacterial small subunit ribosomal RNA", at positions 1073 to 1325 of the family's 1533-position model. Lineage: Bacteria; Pseudomonadati; Pseudomonadota; Alphaproteobacteria; Sphingomonadales; Sphingomonadaceae. The record is from RNAcentral.